GGAGAACUAAUUUCUACCAAAAAAUAACUUAGAUCAGAGAUUGAGGAUACAGAAUCCAAACUAACGAUCUGUUGCAACGAAGUGUAAAGAGAUCGAAAACUCAGAAGUACCUAUCGAGCUAAUAUGACAACUUCAAACGCUCACUACCGAAGGGACGAAGAAAGACGUCAUUGAGAUAAAUAACACCAUUAAAAACCUAGAAGAUUUAUAUAAUGAUUUGUAUACAAUACCAUGCAAUGUGGCACUGGAUAAUGUUCAACAGUUUUUACGCCGGGACUACAUUGAAAUUACAGGUAUACCAGCUCGGACAUUGGACAACCCAAAACAAUUAGCAAUCCAAGUGGGCGAAAUAAUCGGUAUUAAGCUAACUGCAUGAGGAGCAUAUCUCAAAAGCCCACCGCCUAAUUCCGACAAAGAAAGUAAAGAAUCGUAUCAUAGGCUAUGUUUAUACGCUACGACUAAUCGUGUACGAUUCGUAUUCUGGCGUAUUAAAAUAAGUGCUGGCGCCAUAAUUCAUUGCCUUUUCGUUAAAAAGAAAUUUCAAAUGUAGCCAGCUUACGCGUGUUUACUCAAUGACAUACGCCAGAAAACGAAUCGUACACGACUAAUCGCAGCGUCUAAACGUAGCUAUAGUGAAGUUUGUUCAUAAAGAUAUCACUCAUGAAAAAGGUGUUUAAUUAAACAGUCGGCGAAGCAAAAAUGAUUCGGGAAAAGUCCAAAGAUGUGCCGCCAGUUGGCACCGAAGAUAGUAAAUCCAUCCAUGUGUCCAACAAUAUCUUCAUUAAUGAGUCACUGAUACUGAACAGGAGGAAAAAAUGAACAGGAAAAAAUUGUCAGGGUGAGUAUAGGCUUAGAUGACUUUAAACGUACUGCAUGUAUACUGAGUGGAGUCACAUUUGGACGGUAAAUGGGAAGAUCUUACUGAGACAGUCAGAUAGUUCUAAGGUUUUUGAAUUCGCAACAAAUGAUCAGUUCGACAAGUUUUUGCAAGAUUCUUGAACUGAGAAUCGAAACAGCUAUAUAAUUACAUAAGCUUAAUAAUUACAUAUUUAUAAGACGAUAAUGACUCUCAGUGGGAAUUAUU
Paramuricea clavata is the source of this 1084-nucleotide non-coding RNA. The record is from the annotation of a GenBank genome assembly. Lineage: Eukaryota; Metazoa; Cnidaria; Anthozoa; Malacalcyonacea; Plexauridae.